AUGAACUUAGCUUGCUAAGUUUGAUGGCGACCGGCGCACGGGUGAGUAACACGUAUCCAACCUGCCGAUAACUCGGGGAUAGCCUUUCGAAAGAAAGAUUAAUACCUGAUGGUAUGAUGGGAUUGCAUGAUAGCAUCAUUAAAGAUUCAUCGGUGUACGAUGGGGAUGCGUUCCAUUAGUUUGUUGGCGGGGUAACGGCCCACCAAGACUACGAUGGAUAGGGGUUCUGAGAGGAAGGUCCCCACAUUGGAACUGAGACACGGUCCAAACUCC
Molecule: ribosomal RNA, 273 nt
Filed under: uncultured Bacteroides sp.
Lineage: Bacteria; Pseudomonadati; Bacteroidota; Bacteroidia; Bacteroidales; Bacteroidaceae
Description: partial 16S ribosomal RNA
Rfam family: Bacterial small subunit ribosomal RNA
Source: RNAcentral